AUGAAGAGCGCAGCCAGCUGCGUUAACUAAUGUGAAUUGCAGGACACACUGAACAUCGACACCUUGAACGCACAUUGCGGCUCUGGCUCACUGCCAGAGCCUCGCCUGUCCGAGGGUCGGC
Molecule: ribosomal RNA, 121 nt
Filed under: Cyclina sinensis
Lineage: Eukaryota; Metazoa; Mollusca; Bivalvia; Venerida; Veneridae
Description: partial 5.8S ribosomal RNA
Rfam family: 5.8S ribosomal RNA
About the family: 5.8S ribosomal RNA (5.8S rRNA) is a component of the large subunit of the eukaryotic ribosome. It is transcribed by RNA polymerase I as part of the 45S precursor that also contains 18S and 28S rRNA. Functionally, it is thought that 5.8S rRNA may be involved in ribosome translocation.
Source: RNAcentral